GUAGGGAAUCUUCCACAAUGGGCGAAAGCCUGAUGGAGCAACGCCGCGUGUGUGAUGAAGGGUUUCGGCUCGUAAACACUGUUGUAAGAGAAGAAUGACAUUGAGAGUAACUGUUCAAUGUGUGACGGUAUCUUACCAGAAAGGAACGGCUAAAUACGUGCCAA
RNAcentral lists this ribosomal RNA (164 nucleotides) under uncultured bacterium. RNAcentral's name for it is "partial 16S rRNA". It matches the Rfam family "Bacterial small subunit ribosomal RNA", at positions 354 to 511 of the family's 1533-position model. The record is from RNAcentral.